GCUGGGUGGAUUAGUGGCUAACGGGUGACUAACACGUGAGUAACCUGCCCUUGACUUCGGGAUAACUCCGGGAAACCGGGGCUAAUACCGGAUAUGAGCCGCCUUCGCAUGGGGGUGGUUGGAAAGUUUUUCGGUCAGGGAUGGGCUCGCGGCCUAUCAGCUUGUUGGUGGGGUGAUGGCCUACCAAGGCGACGACGGGUAGCCGGCCUGAGAGGGCGACCGGCCACACUGGGACUGAGACACGGCCCAGACUCCUACGGGAGGCAGCAGUGGGGAAUAUUGCACAAUGGGCGAAAGCCUGAUGCAGCGACGCCGCGUGAGGGAUGAAGGCCUUCGGGUUGUAAACCUCUUUCAGCAGGGAAGAAGCGCAAGUGACGGUACCUGCAGAAGAAGCGCCGGCUAACUACGUGCCAGCAGCCGCGGUUAAUACGUAGGGCGCAAGCGUUGUCCGGAAUUAUUUGGGCGUAAAGAGCUCGUARGCGGUUUGUUCGCGUCUGGUGUGAAAACUCGAGGCUCAACCUCUAGCUUGCAUCGGGGUACGGGCAGACUAYAGUGCGGUAUGGGAGACUGGAAUUCCUGGUGUAGCGGUGGAAUGCGCAGAUAUCAGGAGGGAACACCGAUGGCGAAGGCAGGUCUCUGGGCCGCAACUGACGCUGAGGAGCGAAAGCAUGGGGAGCGAACAGGAUUAGAUACCCUGGUAGUCCAUGCCGUAAACGUUGGGCACUAGGUGUGGGGCUCAUUCCACGAGUUCCGUGCCGCAGCAAACGCAUUAAGUGCCCCGCCUGGGGAGUACGGCCGCAAGGCUAAAACUCAAAGGAAUUGACGGGGGCCCGCACAAGCGGCGGAGCAUGCGGAUUAAUUCGAUGCAACGCGAAGAACCUUACCAAGGCUUGACAUGCACGAGAAGCCACCAGAGAUGGUGGUCUCUUUGGACACUCGUGCACAGGUGGUGCAUGGUUGUCGUCAGCUCGUGUCGUGAGAUGUUGGGUUAAGUCCCGCAACGAGCGCAACCCUCGUCCCAUGUUGCCAGCGGGUUAUGCCGGGGACUCAUGGGAGACUGCCGGGGUCAACUCGGAGGAAGGUGGGGAUGACGUCAAAUCAUCAUGCCCCUUAUGUCUUGGGCUUCACGCAUGCUACAAUGGCCGGUACAAAGGGCUGCGAUACCGUAAGGUGGAGCGAAUCCCAAAAAGCCGGUCUCAGUUCGGAUUGGGGUCUGCAACUCGACCCCAUGAAGUCGGAGUCGCUAGUAAUCGCAGAUCAGCAACGCUGCGGUGAAUACGUUCCCGGGCCUUGUACACACCGCCCGUCAAGUCACGAAAGUCGGUAACACCCGAAGCCCAUGGCCCAACCGUUCGCGGGGGGAG
Molecule: ribosomal RNA, 1364 nt
Filed under: Cellulosimicrobium funkei
Lineage: Bacteria; Bacillati; Actinomycetota; Actinomycetes; Micrococcales; Promicromonosporaceae
Description: bacterial SSU rRNA
Rfam family: Bacterial small subunit ribosomal RNA
Source: RNAcentral